RNAcentral lists this ribosomal RNA (253 nucleotides) under uncultured bacterium. RNAcentral's name for it is "partial 16S ribosomal RNA". It matches the Rfam family "Bacterial small subunit ribosomal RNA", at positions 524 to 776 of the family's 1533-position model. The record is from RNAcentral.
UACGGAGGGUGCAAGCGUUGUUCGGAUUUAUUGGGCGUAAAGGGCGUGCAGGCGGUCUCGCAAGUCCGAUGUGAAAGCCCCGGGCUCAACCCGGGAAGUGCAUCGGAAACCGCGAGACUUGAGUACGGGAGAGGGCAGUGGAAUUCCUGGAGUAGGGGUGAAAUCCGUAGAUAUCAGGAAGAACACCGGUGGCGAAGGCGGCUGCCUGGACCGAUACUGACGCUGAGACGCGAAAGCGUGGGGAGCAAACAGG